This 1378-nucleotide long non-coding RNA is filed under the name Anser cygnoides (Swan goose). Its description in RNAcentral is "lncRNA (ENSACDG00005013146.1)". Lineage: Eukaryota; Metazoa; Chordata; Aves; Anseriformes; Anatidae. The record is from RNAcentral.
AGAGAAGAGGAAACUGAGGGGAGGCCUAAUGGCGGCCUUCAGCUUCCUCAUGAGGGGAGCGGAGGGACAGGCGCUGUCUCUGGGGACAAUGACAGGACCCGAGGGAACGGCAUGGAGCUGUGACAGGAGAGGCUCAGGCUGGAUUUUUGGGUGCUCCUAUGUGGAGCCUGGAGUUGAACUCGAUGAUCCUUGUGGAUCCCUUCCAACUCAGGUUACUCUAUGAUUAUAAAUCAAAAAAUAUUCUUCCCAUUUCACCAUGGAGACAGACUUUUGACAACUGCUUGGAUAGAAGUGUGGAGCCUGAGAAACUGGCAUGUUUUGGGAGUUUGGCCAUGUAAGCAAGGAUCAACAGAGCAUUAAGAAGAUAGAUGUUUUUAUUUACUUAUUAAAAUAGUAACAUUUUCUUUGAUUUAAAAUAAUCAAAAAUGUAUGUAUAUGGUAUGUUUUAAUUUAGAAUAUGCCAUUUAAAAUUCUUUUAAUCUUUCAUGGAAAUGCCUACCUAAACAUGUCACUUAAUUACAUAUGGUUAUCUAAAUAUAGGGAUACACUUUUUUCUUCAUGUUUAUAAGAAUUCCUGUUUUGAGAGCUGUCAGUCUUUAUUCUUUAAUUGAUACAUAAUGAUAAAAGAUUUUUAUACAUUUUUCACUUGAGUGCAUAUGAAAAGGUCAUUAUCUAGUUGUACAUUUGAAAACUUUGUGAAACACGAAGUUAUUUACACACAGGAACUUUUGUAAUAUUGCCUACAUCAAUGACCACUUUUCCCAUCAUUCCUGGUGUUUAGAUUGUUGUGAUUCUGCUGAUAAAGCUGAUGUUUUUCUUCAGUAUUCCUCUGCCUCUGUCCUUUCCUACAGGCUUACCCUGAGUUUGUCCUGACCUACCUAGAGGAACUAAAUGAAAGAGGAGGUGACCCAGACAGAAAACCGCAUUCACCAUGGGGCCUGAUCUGCAGCUCAUCAGGAGAUAGACAGCAGCUCAGCAGAAGAGAUUCUGCAAAAAAAUGUCAGCAACCCCAAUCAGAAACAACUUUCAGGACCUUUGGAUCCCAUUUAAUGCCUGCAGAUCCCCUAGGGGAGACUACACAGCUGACAGUGGCACUGGUGAGGAAACUAGAAGAGAAACAUCCUAAGGCCUCAGCUCAAAGUUGGGCAGAUUCGGUUAUUACAUUUCUGAAGACUUACCAGUGGGGGAAAAAUGACUGAAGAACACCCCAAGGAGAUGGAAAUGUUCUCCCACUUUCAUCAGUGACACAACUAUGAAUUGGUAAAAUUGUUUGUAAAGGCUAAUUGAAUGUUUGACCUUGAUUCUUUAUAGAAAUUUAUAAAUUAAGCAAUUUAUAAAUUCUAAGUGGACAAAAUAAAGGUGAAAGUCAUGAUCUACA